GACGAACGCUGGCGGCGUGCUUAACACAUGCAAGUCGAGCGGUAAGGCCCUUUCGGGGGUACGACGAGCGGCGAACGGGUGAGUAACACGUGGGUGACCUGCCUUUAGUCUCUGGGAGUAAGCCUGGGAAACGUGGGUCGUAAUACCGGAUAUGACUCCGCGGUGCAUGCUGUGGGGUGGAAAGCCUUGUGCGGCUGGAGAUGGGCCCGCGGCCUAUCAGCUUGUUGGUGGGGUGANGGCCUACCAAGGCGACGACGGGUAGCCGGCCUGAGAGGGCGACCGGCCACACUGGGACUGAGACACGGCCCAGACUCCUACGGGAGGCAGCAGUGGGGAAUCUUGCGCAAUGGGCGAAAGCCUGACGCAGCGACGCCGCGUGAGGGAUGAC
This 388-nucleotide ribosomal RNA is filed under the name uncultured bacterium. RNAcentral describes it as "bacterial SSU rRNA". It matches the Rfam family "Bacterial small subunit ribosomal RNA", at positions 28 to 412 of the family's 1533-position model. The record is from RNAcentral.